Non-coding RNA from Coffea arabica (coffee), 4241 nucleotides. The record is from RefSeq and is a predicted model, not a curated record. Lineage: Eukaryota; Viridiplantae; Streptophyta; Magnoliopsida; Gentianales; Rubiaceae.
UCUCCAACCAAGUCUUCCACCACUUUCUUCCUCUCAGUUUGUUUAGGCUCACAAGGAAGCAAAAUGGCUGAGCUAGCUGUGCUUAGUGCCUCGGUGAAGGCCAUUGUACAGGGUCCGCUGGAUAAGGUGAUUUCUCUAGUCAACAAAGAAUUUAGCCUGAUCUACGGCUUCAAGAAAGAUCUUGAAAAGCUGAGAGGAUCACUGGCCAUGAUACAGGCCUUCUUGCGAGAUGCUGAGAGACGACCAGUUGGAGAAGAAGCUGUAAAACUGUGGCUGGAGAAACUUGAAGGCGUGGCUUAUGAUGCUGAUGAUGUAUUGGACGAGAUGAACUACAAAAUUCUCCAACACAAAGUAAAGCUACAGAAGAAAGUGGAAAGCAAGGUAAAAAUCUUCAGCUUGCUCUCAAAUCCCUUUUCUUUUAAUAGGGAAUUGGCUGGUAAACUCAAGGACAUAAAUACAAACUUGAAAAGGAUUAACCAUGAAGCAAAUGAGUUUGGCCUUCAGUUCCAUAUCAGAGAUGUGGAUGCAGAUUCUGCUGCUGGUGCUGUGUUUUCUCAUUCCAUAGCAAGAAGCAGAGAGACUGACUCAGUAAGUGUUGAUCCUAAUGUUCUGGGAAGAGAUAAUGAUAAAUCUGAUUUAGUGAAAACAUUGAUGAGAUCAAGGGAUGAAGUUGUUUCAGUUAUUCCCAUUGUGGGAAUGGGUGGAUUGGGGAAAACAACUUUAGCUCGGUUAAUAUACAAUGAUGAAAGAAUUAAGAACUACUUUGAUGCAAGAAUUUGGGUCUGUGUAUCUGAAAGUUUUGAUGUAACUAAGCUCUUUGCCAUGAUGCUCGAAUCAUUGACACAAUCGCAUGUUCAAGUACAGGGCAGGGAAGCCAUAGUGAAAAACCUUCAAAAGGCUAUCGGGGUUGGAAGAUAUCUUCUCAUACUAGAUGAUGUUUGGAAUGAUAAAGCUGAUAAAUGGGAUGAUUUUAAAAGAUCAAUGGAAGGGAUCAACAGAACCAAGGGAAAUAGCAUUGUUGUGACUACACGUAGUGAACAAGUAGCUUCAAUAGUUGCGACGCUACCCCAACAUUUCCUUAGAAAGUUAUCUGAAGAAGAUUGUCUGUCAAUAUUGAAAGCUAGAGCAUUCCCAGGAGGAGAAGUUCCAAGGGAAUUGGACGCCAUAGGGAAGAAAAUUGCAGCCAAGUGUCAAGGUUUACCAUUAGCAGCAAAUCUGGUAGGAGGAAUUUUACGCAACAAGGGAAAAUCUGAGUGGAUGUCAAUUUUGAAUGAAGGCCUUUCUCAUGUAAAUGGAGAUGAAAAUGGUUGUAGUAUCUUGCAAAUACUGAAGUUGAGCUUUGAUCAUUUGCCAACUCCUGCUGCUAAAAAAUGCUUUGCUUAUUGCUCAAUCUUUAACAAGGAUUUCAAUUUGAAAAAGGAACAAGUAGUUCAACUAUGGAUCGCAGAAGGAUUUUUGUAUUCAAAUCAAGGAAGUGAUGUGAUGGAGAAAACGGGGAUCAAGAUUUUCCACAUUUUACUGCAAAACUGCUUACUUCAAGAUCUGGAGAAGGAUAUAUAUGACAAUGUCAUUAGCUGUAAGAUGCAUGAUCUUGUGCAUGAUCUUGCAAGUUCUGUUUCAAGUGCCAAAGGCAGAUGCCUCGCAUUGAGCACAUCGAGUGAAGCACCCCAAAAUCUGUUGGAAGAAAAGGAAAGAAAUCUGCGCACGUUGUUCUUGAAAUAUGAUGUUUCUCACCAAGUGUUGCUAGAGUUUGUACUCUUGCGUGUACUAAAUUUGGAGGGUGCAGAUCUUGUUAAGGAACUGCCCUCCAAAAUAAAAAAGCUAACACAUUUAAGAUAUCUUGAUGUGUCAGGAACCCAAAUUAAGGUUCUGCCAGACUCCAUUUGCAAGUUGUAUAAUUUGCAAACUCUGAGGGCCCUCCAUCUACAUGGUUCUAUCAAUAAGUUUCCACCAAAUUUUCAUAACUUGAUCAGCUUGAGACACCUUCAUUUUUAUUUUCCUGAAAGAUUUCAAAUGCCACUUGGGAUAGGAAAACUGACUGAUCUUCAAACAUUGUCAUGCUUUAAUGUGGAUCAAGAGAAGGGCCGUAGAAUUAGCGAGCUGGGGUGCUUGAAUAACCUUGGAGGUGAAUUGAAGAUACACAAUCUAGAACUGGUGAAUGAUGCAGAUGAAGCUAGAAGUGCAAAUUUAUCUGGAAAGCCAAAUAUCUACAAAUUGGAAUAUUAUUGGGGAAGAAAUAGACAAGGCGACAACCAGGACGAAAAUGUACUGGAAGGGCUCCAACCUCACCCAAAUAUAAAAAGCUUGAAGAUAGAAAACUUCAUGGGCAAUGAGUUUCCUUUGUGGGCUAUCAAAAUGGCCGUCAAAACCGAGAAUGCAUGGGUAUUACUUGAGAAUUUGGUGGAGAUAGAACUAGUCCAGUGUGAAAGAUGUAAAGAAAUUCCAAUGCUCGGACAAUUACCCUUUCUCCAGCAUCUUAAAUUGGAAGGGCUUACUAAUGUAAGAAUUAUAGCUCCUUCAACUUAUGGUACUGAUUACUACAUUGGAUCGAGCAGUAGUCUAUGUAGAACCAUAUGGUUUCCAGCACUUGAAAAUCUCGUUCUAGAAAGAAUGCCGAGCUUGAUAGAAUGGAUUGAUUUUCCAGAUAUGCCAUCUUCAAGUACAACAGCAUCAAGUGAAGUGAGUUUUUUUCCUCGCCUUCAAAACUUAACCAUCAUAAGUUGCCCCCAUUUAAGGACUGUUCCAAGAAAAUUUCGUUGUCUUACUUGUUUAAACCUAAUGGGCGACAACAGCAUCUUGCCAUUGUCAAGCAUAUGUAGUAAUGUUUUCACUCUUGAAACACUACGCAUAUUUGGCCUGUCAGAUCUAACAUGUCUUCCAGAUUGUUUAUUUCAAAACAAUCCAAAGCUUGCACAUUUUAACAUGGGCUAUUGCUCAAACCUGACAAAUUUUGCUUCAAACUUGUCAGGCUGUGCCAAUUCUCUUAAGAUAUUGGAGAUUGAGCACUGCGAUAGUCUGAUUGAGUUACCACAAGGAUUACACACCCUCCAGUCACUUGAGAGACUAACAAUAAAUGGAUGUGACAGUCUCAGAUCCAUACCAGCGCCAGAGUGCCAGGGCCAGGGCCUUACUUCUCUUCGUAACUGGGAGUUUGCUGGUUGUCAUGGAUUGACCAACAUCCCUGGAGAAGCAUUGCAGUUUUGCACCUCUCUGGAGUCUCUGUCGGUAAAGUACUGCAAUGAGCUUGUAGUUUUUCCAGUGGAUUUGCAGAAGUUGCCUUCUCUCAUUUGUCUACGGAUACAUCACUGCCCCAAAUUGGAUAUGAUGCCCACAGGUUUGUGUGGUCUUACUAGGCUAAGGCAAUUGUACAUAGGUUGUUUCUUGGAGUUUGGCUCAUUCCAAAUCAUUUUCAAUGGCAUUGAGCAAAAUCUUUCAACCCUUAUAGAAUUAGAAUUGUUUGGGUGUUCUGACUGGGAUUCUCUGCCUGAUCAACUUCAGUACCUCACAUCUUUGAAACAACUGGACAUAAAUGAUUUUGGAGUUGAAACUUUGCCCAAUUGGCUGGGGAAUCUUUUCUCUCUCGAAAAUCUGAGGCUGACCAAUUGCAAGAAACUGCAUCAGCUGCCUUCCUUAGAGGCCAUGAGGCAUAUGAUCAAACUGAAGGAAUUUACAAUUACAAAUUGUCCUCUGUUAAAAGCUAGUUGCAUCCAGAGAAGCAACCCCAACAGCCAGUGGUCCAGGAUUUCUCAUAUUCCCACAAUCGAAAUAGAUUUAUUUCUUAUUCAGUCCUUAUCAUAAGCUAUGGAGAAUACUUUGAAACUUUCUUGAACGUUCAGGAUUCCUUGCAUCUUUGGUUCUAAAUCGAUCAGGGAUCGGUGUAUCAGGGGAUCAGGGAUUUCCUGUGCUGAAAAAUAAUCUAUUUCAGUUGAAAGGAUGAUUAUGUUCACCUUCCAGGGCCCUGAUUCAUCAUGUCACAGGCUAUUGGCACACCACCUAUUUUGCUCAUAUCUCCUGCACAAAAUUCAGGAUUUGCUCCUUGGUAGAACAGCUUUUAUCAUUCUGUGAUUUUCAGUCACUUUGUCAUAAAGGGAUUCUAAAGCUGAAUGCUUCUCUUUCCUAUUGCUAUAUGGUUCUUGCAUCACUUAAUCUCAUAUGUUCCUUAUGGACUUGACUCAAGCUAUAUAUGCUUGUAAAGAAAUCAUUUCCUGAACCUAAUUAAUUAAAGCUGAUUUCCCACUAAA